Molecule: non-coding RNA, 155 nt
Filed under: uncultured Clostridium sp.
Lineage: Bacteria; Bacillati; Bacillota; Clostridia; Eubacteriales; Clostridiaceae
Source: RNAcentral
AGGUGAUUAUAAACUUAAAAGGGAAUUAGGUUAAAAUCCUAAGCUACCCCAGUAACCGUAAAACUGACGAAAUUCAUUUUUAUACCACUGUAAAAUUUAUGGGAAGGUUUGAAUAGUAGAAUGAAGUUAAGCCGGGAGACCUGCCUAUUAUGAUG